GUUUGAUCAUGGCUCAGAACGUACGCUGGCGGCACGCCUAACACAUGCAAGUCGAACGAAGUAGCAAUACUUAGUGGCAGACGGGUGAGUAACAUGUAGGUAUCUGCCCUUUGGCCUGGAAUAACACGAGGAAACUUGUGCUAAUACCGGAUAAGUCUUUACGGAGAAAGCUUUAUGCACCAUUGGAUGAGCCUGCACUUGAUUAGUUUGUUGGUAGGGUAAUGGCCUACCAAGACUGUGAUCAAUAGCUGAUUUGAGAGGAUGAUCAGCCACAUUGGGACUGAGACACGGCCCAAACUCCUACGGGAGGCAGCAGUGGGGAAUCUUGCACAAUGGAGGAAACUCUGAUGCAGCGAUGCCGCGUGAGUGAAGAAGGCCUUUGGGUUGUAAAGCUCUUUCGUCGGGGAAGAAAAUGACUGUACCCGAAUAAGAAGGUCCGGCUAACUUCGUGCCAGCAGCCGCGGUAAUACGAAGGGACCUAGCGUAGUUCGGAAUUACUGGGCUUAAAGAGUUCGUAGGUGGUUGAAAAAGUUGGUGGUGAAAUCCCAGAGCUUAACUCUGGAACUGCCAUCAAAACUUUUCAGCUAGAGUAUGAUAGAGGAAAGCAGAAUUUCUAGUGUAGAGGUGAAAUUCGUAGAUAUUAGAAAGAAUACCAAUUGCGAAGGCAGCUUUCUGGAUCAUUACUGACACUGAGGAACGAAAGCAUGGGUAGCGAAGAGGAUUAGAUACCCUCGUAGUCCAUGCCGUAAACGAUGUGUGUUAGACGUUGGAAAUUUAUUUUCAGUGUCGCAGCGAAAGCGAUAAACACACCGCCUGGGGAGUACGACCGCAAGGUUAAAACUCAAAUGAAUUGACGGGGACCCGCACAAGUAGUGGAGCAUGUGGUUUAAUUCGAAGAUACGCGCAGAACCUUACCAACACUUGACAUGUUCGUCGCGACUCUAAGAGAUUAGAGUUUUCGGUUCGGCCGGACGAAACACAGGUGCUGCAUGGCUGUCGUCAGCUCGUGUCGUGAGAUGUUGGGUUAAGUCCCGCAACGAGCGCAACCCUCACUUUUAGUUGCCAUCAUUAAGUUGGGCACUCUGAAAGAACUGCCAGUGAUAAGCUGGAGGAAGGUGGGGAUGACGUCAAGUCCUCAUGGCCCUUACGUGUUGGGCUACACACGUGCUACAAUGGUAUCUACAACAGGAAGCAAGACUGCGAGGUCAAGCAAAUCCUUAAAAGAUACCUCAGUUCGGAUUGCACUCUGCAACUCGAGUGCAUGAAGCUGGAAUUACUAGUAAUCGUGGAUCAGCGUGCCACGGUGAAUGCGUUCCCGGGUCUUGUACACACCGCCCGUCACACCAUGGGAGUUGGUUCUACCUUAAGGCAAGGUUUCAAACCCUUGACCACGGUAUAGUCAGCGACUGGGGUGAAGUCAUAACAAGGUAACCGUA
RNAcentral lists this ribosomal RNA (1436 nucleotides) under uncultured bacterium. RNAcentral's name for it is "bacterial SSU rRNA". It matches the Rfam family "Bacterial small subunit ribosomal RNA". The record is from RNAcentral.